CUCCAUGCUGCUUCAAAAUCAAAUGGCUUUAGACCCUCAUAUAUUGUUUUAAACAAUGCCUUCCGAAUAACAUCAUAGUUACGCAAUCCUCCCAACUUUUCUGGAACUUUCCUCAGGAUGUGUGAUAAAGCAAAACGAUGAAGAGACCUCGGGAAUACCUCAUGAAUUGCAGUCUCCAAAACCUUGCACCUUUCUGUAAUAAUUGUUUGAGGGAAACGUCCAAGAGAGCAGGUGAGCCAAGCUUUAAACAUCCAAACAUAAGAGGCCUUAGUCUCACCAGCAAGCAGG
Molecule: unclassified non-coding RNA, 288 nt
Filed under: Hevea brasiliensis (rubber tree)
Lineage: Eukaryota; Viridiplantae; Streptophyta; Magnoliopsida; Malpighiales; Euphorbiaceae
Source: RNAcentral